RNAcentral lists this long non-coding RNA (378 nucleotides) under Rattus norvegicus (Norway rat). RNAcentral describes it as "long non-coding RNA NONRATT017823". The record is from RNAcentral. Lineage: Eukaryota; Metazoa; Chordata; Mammalia; Rodentia; Muridae.
GAAGCGAGGCCAGCUGCAGCAGCAGAAGAUGGACAGAGACCUGAAGCAGGUGAGGGCUGCUGGGCCUCACCCUAACGGCCUCCCUCCGUGGAAUGUCCGUUUCCUGGGACUCUUUGCUCCCGUCACAGCAUUCUCUCUACUCUGUCGGUUCCCGUUUCCGGGACAAGGUUCUCUGUAUGCCACCCUGGGGCAACUGCUUAGGCAAGACUGUUGCAGGCUCAGAGUCCCGGUGUCCUGGGGACAUGUUUACCUCUGAACUGGGGUCUUCUAGAGAGCUAUGAGCUAUACCUUGGAAGAGAAGCAAGCCUGUGAAAGCUGUAAUAAGAGAUUUUUAGUCCACCGUGUCCAGAAAUAUAAAGUCAAACAUGAAAAGCAAAA